ACACCUGGAAACAGAUGCUAAUACCGCAUAACAACUUGGACCGCAUGGUCCGAGUUUGAAAGAUGGCUUCGGCUAUCACUUUUGGAUGGUCCCGCGGCGUAUUAGCUAGAUGGUGGGGUAACGGCUCACCAUGGCAAUGAUACGUAGCCGACCUGAGAGGGUAAUCGGCCACAUUGGGACUGAGACACGGCCCAAACUCCUACGGGAGGCAGCAGUAGGGAAUCUUCCACAAUGGACGAAAGUCUGAUGGAGCAACGCCGCGUGAGUGAAGAAGGGUUUCGGCUCGUAAAACUCUGUUGUUAAAGAAGAACAUAUCUGAUAGUAACUGUUCAGGUAUUGACGGUAUUUAACCAGAAAGCCACGGCUAACUACGUGCCAGCAGCCGCGGUAAUACGUAGGUGGCAAGCGUUGUCCGGAUUUAUUGGGCGUAAAGCGAGCGCAGGCGGUUUUUUAAGUCUGAUGUGAAAGCCUUCGGCUCAACCGAAGAAGUGCAUCGGAAACUGGGAAACUUGAGUGCAGAAGAGGACAGUGGAACUCCAUGUGUAGCGGUGAAAUGCGUAGAUAUAUGGAAGAACACCAGUGGCGAAGGCGGCUGUCUGGUCUGUAACUGACGCUGAGGCUCGAAAGUAUGGGUAGCAAAUAGGAUUAGAUACCCUGGUGGUCCAUACCGUAAACGAUG
RNAcentral lists this ribosomal RNA (679 nucleotides) under uncultured bacterium. RNAcentral's name for it is "bacterial SSU rRNA". It matches the Rfam family "Bacterial small subunit ribosomal RNA", at positions 146 to 811 of the family's 1533-position model. The record is from RNAcentral.